CCUGACGGUAGUCGUAUGCUCGUCUCCGAGACUAAGCCAUGCAAGUCCAAGUACACGUCCUUGAACGACGGAAACUGCGAACGGCUCAUUAAAUCAGUUGCGAUCUACUCGGCGUUCCGCGCCGCCGGAUAACCGUAGUAAUUCUAGGGCUAAUACGUGCGAAGCGCCCGAAGCCGCGAGGCGACGGGCGUUCUCGCCGGAUGUAGGAACCGACCCGGGGACCGCCGGGGCAACCCGGCGCCCCCGAGACGGGGCGAACCACGGUGAAAUGACGGAUCGUCGGCCCCGCGCCGGCGACUCGCCGAAUGAGUUUCUGACCUAUCAACUCGAGACGGCGGGGUAGAGGCCCGCCGCGGUAACGACGGGUAACGGGGAAUCAGGGUUCGAUUCCGGAGAGGGAGCCCGAGAAACGGCUACCACUUCCAAGGAAGGCAGCAGGCGCGCAACUUACCCUAAU
Molecule: ribosomal RNA, 457 nt
Filed under: uncultured eukaryote
Lineage: Eukaryota
Description: bacterial SSU rRNA
Rfam family: Eukaryotic small subunit ribosomal RNA
Source: RNAcentral